AUUGAACGCUGGCGGCAGGCCUAACACAUGCAAGUCGAGCGGAUGACGGGAGCUUGCUCCUUGAUUCAGCGGCGGACGGGUGAGUAAUGCCUAGGAAUCUGCCUGGUAGUGGGGGACAACGUUUCGAAAGGAACGCUAAUACCGCAUACGUCCUACGGGAGAAAGCAGGGGACCUUCGGGCCUUGCGCUAUCAGAUGAGCCUAGGUCGGAUUAGUUAGUAGGUGAGGUAAUGGCUCACCUAGGCGACGAUCCGUAACUGGUCUGAGAGGAUGAUCAGUCACACUGGGACUGAGAUACGGUCCAGACUCCUACGGGAGGCAGCAGUGGGGAAUAUUGGACAAUGGGCGAAAGCCUGAUCCAGCCAUGCCGCGUGUGUGAAGAAGGUCUUCGGAUUGUAAAGCACUUUAAGUUGGGAGGAAGGGCAGUAAGUUAAUACCUUGCUGUUUUGACGUUACCGACAGAAUAAGCACCGGCUAACUCUGUGCCAGCCGCCGCGGUAA
Molecule: ribosomal RNA, 500 nt
Filed under: uncultured bacterium
Lineage: Bacteria
Description: partial 16S ribosomal RNA
Rfam family: Bacterial small subunit ribosomal RNA
Source: RNAcentral